This 349-nucleotide long non-coding RNA is filed under the name Prunus persica (peach). Its description in RNAcentral is "long non-coding RNA (PPER_LNC008190)". Lineage: Eukaryota; Viridiplantae; Streptophyta; Magnoliopsida; Rosales; Rosaceae. The record is from RNAcentral.
UUGGACAACAGGGCGAAGAGAGAAGGAUGGACGAAUGCACUGGUGGGCAAUUUGAGAGGUCUCUAGUAGGUCGAGUAGGAGUAAGUAGACAAGGAGAGGGACAACAACGUCAUCAACAUACCGACAUGUCACAGGCAUCCGCGAGUCACGCUUAAAGCAGACGAAGUCUCCAAUCUAGGUUGAUUUCAAGGACCAAUGUGUACGAAAGGUUGGGUUCGCAAGCAGACAUUCGUGCCCACCUGGGCUCGCCGGAAAAUGUUCAUGAAAGUUUAGGCCCUAAAGGAGGCCAACCAAACGACCCUCACAAUGAGGUUCGCAAUGAAAGGCGCUCCAUAGUUCACUCCUGAAG